RNAcentral lists this long non-coding RNA (950 nucleotides) under Homo sapiens (human). RNAcentral's name for it is "HSALNT0326472". Lineage: Eukaryota; Metazoa; Chordata; Mammalia; Primates; Hominidae. The record is from RNAcentral.
CUUGCUAGGCUGCAGCAGAGCAUCUUCAGAUCUCUGACUCUAUCCCUCUGCUUCCUUCAUCCCAUCUCCUUCUCUGACUCGCCUGCCUCUUCUAAGGAUCCAUGUGAUGACACUGGGCUCAACAUAAUUAUCAAGAUAAAGAAAUUCAGAAAACUCCAAUAGCAUCAAGAAGUGUUUUACUGGGUACUCAGAUGGAUCUGGAGUGCUGCUUGGAGGAUUAUCUAUUAACUACUUCAAGUAUGACGGUGAGGAUUACCGAGCAUAAUGAUUAUCCUGAGAGAAGGCUUUUGCCAGAUUAAAAAAAGACAUGGAAGUUUAUGAAAGAGUAGCUGAGUUAGCAUUACUACAUUAACAUUGUAUUCGCAGGAAGAAAAACGUAAUUUUGAGUAAUUAUGCCCCAACACAAAUAUUCAGUUAUUAAAUAUAAGCAAUAGUCAAGAGACUGCAAACAGUUAAGAGAAAACCAAUCCAAUUCUUACCAAUUUAAAUACUUGCCUUAAAGCAUUGUUUAGUAAAUUUAGAUCACAGUAUGUUUAUUUCCUUGUAGUUGCUCAAAUUAAGUCUCCAAUUUCACUGCAUUACAGAUUUAUUCCACAGAGCACACUUGUGUUUUCAUUAUAUUGAUAAUAUAGAUGGCUGUAAAUAAUUUGGGUGACCCACAAUAGUGGGAUCAAACAAAAAUUUACGAUUAGAAACCACAGGCUACUCAAGGAAAGAAGUUUUUAUCUUUAAACUUAUUAUCUUGUCUCCCAACUGUGAAUGAAGUUAUCUACAGAAUAAUCAAUAGUUAGAUGAAACUUGGCUUUUGCUACAGAGAAGCUUUAUCCUCUCAGAGAAUUUCAAAGAGGAAAACCAUUUAAAGGUAAGUUCACUUUUCAGCAUAGUAGCAACAGAUAAAAAAUACUACCUUUUCACCCCUAAACCAGUGCAAUUACUUUUUCCAGAAGCUG